UAUUUACCUAAUACAGAAUAAAAAUAAAUGACUAAAUAUCGUUCACAUAUCAAGAAAAUAGUUGAACUAGAGAAAAAAGAAAGAACGCGCGACUUUUAAGAUACAGAAGAAUGAUAGCUGUAACUGUUCUCUUCGCUGAAAUCAAUGCAAGAAGAGAAACGGUUUACUUCCCUUUCACUACUUUUACUGAAAAAAGGCACGAUGCAAGCACUUUAUUAUAGGAUUAAGUGUUCUCUAGUUGAGAUUACUAACCACGUAUAAGGUAACAUUGUACGUAGUAUCGUACUUCAUCCUGUGAAGCGUCAAUUUUGUUUGACGCACGCAAUGAAGUCCUUCCGGAAUGCCGCGAUGUUGCUGUUCCUUAGAAGAGGAACUCCCUUUCGUCGAAUGCUGGUAAACGCGUAGAACAUUUUGCGCGGCGCAAAGGGUCAAGGGGUGAGCCUGAGACCCUGAUGUCACGGCUAAACAGUAAUGCGAGAGGUGGGGAUCUAUGUUGCUGUAAAAAUAAAUGGAUUUUUGUCGAAUUCGUGGCAUGAAUCACACAAGCCUAUUUUAAUUCGCUGGGACGUUAAUCGUAAACUUGAUAUUUCGUCGACCAGCCAAAGAAAAUCUUUAUUCCUCUAAUUUCUAUUUUGUUCAAAAAUCAAUCUUUCUAUUAUUCUUUUGAAUAUGAAUAGUAGAGUUCUAGCGAUAAUCAAUUAUCGUAUGUUGUUAUUAUUAUUAUCAUUUAAAAUUUUAAAAUAAAUUUAACAAAUGAUAUUUGCGAAAACUGCAAUUUGUUUAAUUCGUUGCUUGUAUGGAGUUAGAUUGGCGAACAAGGUUUGGACAUUUUUAUAUGUAUGCGGGAAAUGAUUUCGAAGCUUGUAUUACAAAACUUUUGUCCAAUAUUACAUCGAGUUUGAUUUAAUUUGCCAAGUAUCUCUCAGUUACAUCGAAAUUACAAUUUACGAGCUCGAUAUGUCCAUAUGAUAAGGCAAUUUUUAUUACAUUUCGAUUAUUUUUAUCUCUUGGAAAUAAAAUGUGAUUAGGAGUUGUUACACGUUGAAUAUAACUGUACGCGAUACUAUGGUUAAAUAUGACAACUAAGUUUUUUGCCAACAACUUGCGCGUCAAAAGAAAAUUAUUAGCCAUACCUUUUAUUCCAGGAUAUCGUAAGCCGACGUUUGCUUCUUCGUUGUUGAAAUCUUAACGAGCGGUGACGAUUUUCCAUUUCGUUUGCAUACAAUUCCGGGAUAUGGCUCAAACUGCUUGAUGUGGCGUACAGCAGCACCGUGCUCGGUGUUAAAUUUUGUAAACUGGCACCAGGAGGGUUCACGGAUUUAAUUUCGAACCAAUAAAGACCAGCGCGUGUCUUUGAUAUCGUAAAAUUCUGAUCCUCUGCACCCUCGUACGUGAAAAGAGGGGAGCCUGGUUUCAAACUCUUCACUGGCCACCGGGUUUGAACUGUUGUAUCGAUCAUAAUAUACACUUUAUCAUAGAUUCUCUCUUGGAUA
This is a long non-coding RNA of Bombus terrestris (buff-tailed bumblebee), 1493 nucleotides long. RefSeq lists it as uncharacterized. The record is from RefSeq and is a predicted model, not a curated record. Lineage: Eukaryota; Metazoa; Arthropoda; Insecta; Hymenoptera; Apidae. The transcript is spliced from 2 exons.